AUGCAGUCGCACGAGAACGCUUCAGCUUGCUGAAGUUAGUAAAGUGGCGCACGGGUGAGUAACGCGUGGGUAAUCUACCCCCGAAUUGGGGAUAACAUCGCGAAAGCGAUGCUAAUACCGGAUGAUAUCUUAAAAACCUCGGUUUUAAAGAUCAAAGGUGGCCUCUACAUGUAAGCUUCUGUUUGGGGAUGAGCCCGCGUACCAUUAGCUUGUUGGUAGGGUAAUGGCCUACCAAGGCUACGAUGGUUAGCUGGUCUGAGAGGAUGAUCAGCCACACUGGAACUGACACACGGUCCAGACUCCUACGGGAGGCAGCAGUGAGGAAUUUUGCGCAAUGGGGGAAACCCUGACGCAGCAACGCCGCGUGAGUGAUGAAGGCUUUCGGGUCGUAAAGCUCUGUCAAGUGGGAAGAACCCACAUGAUGAUAAUACCAUUUUGUGUUGACGGUACCACUGAAGGAAGCACCGGCUAACUCCGUGCCAGCAGCCGCGGUAAUACG
RNAcentral lists this ribosomal RNA (499 nucleotides) under uncultured bacterium. RNAcentral describes it as "bacterial SSU rRNA". It matches the Rfam family "Bacterial small subunit ribosomal RNA", at positions 55 to 527 of the family's 1533-position model. The record is from RNAcentral.